CGAACGGGUGAGUAACACGUGGGCAACCUGCCCAAAAGAGGGGGAUAACACUUGGAAACAGGUGCUAAUACCGCAUAACCAUAGUUACCGCAUGGUAGCUAUGUAAAAGGUGGCUAUGCUACCGCUUUUGGAUGGGCCCGCGGCGCAUUAGCUAGUUGGUGGGGUAAAGGCUUACCAAGGCAAUGAUGCGUAGCCGAACUGAGAGGUUGAUCGGCCACAUUGGGACUGAGACACGGCCCAAACUCCUACGGGAGGCAGCAGUAGGGAAUCUUCCACAAUGGGCGAAAGCCUGAUGGAGCAACGCCGCGUGGGUGAAGAAGGUCUUCGGAUCGUAAAACCCUGUUGUUAGAGAAGAAAGUGCGUGAGAGUAACUGUUCACGUUUCGACGGUAUCUAACCAGAAAGCCACGGCUAACUACGUGCCAGCAGCCGCGGUAAUACGUAGGUGGCAAGCGUUAUCCGGAUUUAUUGGGCGUAAAGGGAACGCAGGCGGUCUUUUAAGUCUGAUGUGAAAGCCUUCGGCUUAACCGGAGUAGUGCAUUGGAAACUGGGAGACUUGAGUGCAGAAGAGGAGAGUGGAACUCCAUGU
Molecule: ribosomal RNA, 588 nt
Filed under: uncultured bacterium
Lineage: Bacteria
Description: bacterial SSU rRNA
Rfam family: Bacterial small subunit ribosomal RNA
Source: RNAcentral